RNAcentral lists this ribosomal RNA (868 nucleotides) under Salmonella enterica. RNAcentral's name for it is "partial 23S ribosomal RNA". It matches the Rfam family "Bacterial large subunit ribosomal RNA", at positions 1935 to 2802 of the family's 2925-position model. Lineage: Bacteria; Pseudomonadati; Pseudomonadota; Gammaproteobacteria; Enterobacterales; Enterobacteriaceae. The record is from RNAcentral. RNAcentral also lists the same sequence under 2 other names.
CGUAACUAUAACGGUCCUAAGGUAGCGAAAUUCCUUGUCGGGUAAGUUCCGACCUGCACGAAUGGCGUAAUGAUGGCCAGGCUGUCUCCACCCGAGACUCAGUGAAAUUGAACUCGCUGUGAAGAUGCAGUGUACCCGCGGCAAGACGGAAAGACCCCGUGAACCUUUACUAUAGCUUGACACUGAACAUUGAGCCUUGAUGUGUAGGAUAGGUGGGAGGCUUUGAAGCGUGGACGCCAGUCUGCGUGGAGCCGACCUUGAAAUACCACCCUUUAAUGUUUGAUGUUCUAACGUGGACCCGUUACCCGGGUUGCGGACAGUGUCUGGUGGGUAGUUUGACUGGGGCGGUCUCCUCCUAAAGAGUAACGGAGGAGCACGAAGGUUGGCUAAUCCUGGUCGGACAUCAGGAGGUUAGUGCAAUGGCAUAAGCCAGCUUGACUGCGAGCGUGACGGCGCGAGCAGGUGCGAAAGCAGGUCAUAGUGAUCCGGUGGUUCUGAAUGGAAGGGCCAUCGCUCAACGGAUAAAAGGUACUCCGGGGAUAACAGGCUGAUACCGCCCAAGAGUUCAUAUCGACGGCGGUGUUUGGCACCUCGAUGUCGGCUCAUCACAUCCUGGGGCUGAAGUAGGUCCCAAGGGUAUGGCUGUUCGCCAUUUAAAGUGGUACGCGAGCUGGGUUUAGAACGUCGUGAGACAGUUCGGUCCCUAUCUGCCGUGGGCGCUGGAGAACUGAGGGGGGCUGCUCCUAGUACGAGAGGACCGGAGUGGACGCAUCACUGGUGUUCGGGUUGUCAUGCCAAUGGCACUGCCCGGUAGCUAAAUGCGGAAGAGAUAAGUGCUGAAAGCAUCUAAGCACGAAACUUGCCCCGA